This is a non-coding RNA of Pelobates cultripes (western spadefoot toad), 1099 nucleotides long. The record is from the annotation of a GenBank genome assembly. Lineage: Eukaryota; Metazoa; Chordata; Amphibia; Anura; Pelobatidae.
CUGUGUUUCAUAGCCGCGGCAGUCUCCUGAGCCACGGCUGUGUUUGUCUCUGCUUCCCCGAUCGCGGGCUGCCCGCGCGGGUAGGGUGCGCGCGCCCCCUCCCCACCGGGGAUCAGUCCGCGAUCGUGAUACCACACGUGCGGCGGCCAUUUUGGGCGGUCCGUCGGCUGAUCGGUCGCUCACUCUGCUGCUGCCGUGCGGUCUGUCUCCCCGGUCUGGGUCCCCUGAGUGCACCAGCGGGCAGGUUUUCUUCACAGUGUUCCUUGUGGGUUACUCAACCCUUCUCCAUUUCGUUUCCCCUUAAAGCUGUAUUCCAGUUUAUUUAUUUUCAUCAGUUAGUGCAGAUAACUUGCUUUGUUUACCUACUGUCACUUAAAGGUAUAUUCCCCUAUUAUUGCCACCAUGCAGGAUAAGGAGGAUGGGCCUAUGGGCACCCCUGGUGACUUUAAUAUUGAUAACCCUGAGGGUGCUAUGGCCUCCCAGGAAUUUCAGGCCCUGCUGGAUGCCACUAUGGCUUCGUCCUUACAAAAAGCUUUUGCUUCUGCAAUGGGUGCUGUUUCUUCCUCCUUCUCUCAGUCACUGCAUUCUAUGCUUAUGCCCUCACUGCCUACCCCCACCCUCCAGGGUGCGGGGUCCCCUUCCUCUGCUCAGACUGUGCCUGGUACCCGUAAGGCAAAGGCAAAAUCUAAGCACGUUGAUUCCCACUCCUCGAUGCAGGUGUUACCUGCCAUGACUGACACACUUGAUGUGGUCACAGACAGCGCGCAUCCCACGCGCAAAAGAGCCCCUGGCCGGGCUAAAAAGGCUAGAUUGUGGAAAAGGGCCAGGGCCCUAGAUGAUGAGUCGGAUACCGACCGGAGUGUGGAACGUGACUCUGAUGCUAUGGAGUAUGACUCCUAUGAUGAGGGAGGGUCAGACGAGGAAUUACCCUCCGCGGAGGUUGCCCCCUCUGGGUCCUCUGCCGUGGCCCUAGGCCAAGUUAAGAUUCCCUCUGGGGACAGUAAGGCCAUUUUUGACCCCCAGGGAAACCCACUGUUCGACCCUGACGAUCUGCGUCACCCACGGUCAGCAGAGUGGGUCCCCCCGGACCAUAUUGCAC